Molecule: long non-coding RNA, 277 nt
Organism: Suricata suricatta (meerkat)
Lineage: Eukaryota; Metazoa; Chordata; Mammalia; Carnivora; Herpestidae
Exons: 2
Source: RefSeq, a predicted model, not a curated record
CCUGCGUCACAAACCAGACGCCGGAAGUUCAAGGAAAGCAGAGGCGGCAGUCCAAAGGCAUUAGCGCUCCUCACAAAAAGGGGGCCUUAGAGAACAGGCUCCGAUGGGGAGAGAAGGCGCAGAGAGCGACAGGAUGCCAGAUCUGGUUUUCUCCACCAGAAGCAAUGGUCACGCUCACACCCUUUUGGAGAUAAGACAAGGAUAUCCAGCGUGUAAAUGCACACCCAUGCACACACACAACAAUAUAGUCUGUUUCCACCUUGCUCUUUUCACUCAA